This 320-nucleotide ribosomal RNA is filed under the name uncultured eukaryote. RNAcentral's name for it is "partial 18S ribosomal RNA". It matches the Rfam family "Eukaryotic small subunit ribosomal RNA", at positions 1470 to 1796 of the family's 1831-position model. The record is from RNAcentral.
CCCUUAGAUGUCCUGGGCUGCACGCGCGCUACACUGAACAGUUCAACAAGUCUUAACCUUGGCCGAUAGGUCUGGGUAAUCUUUGAACGCUGUUCGUGAUUGGGAUAGACCUUUGCAAUUAUGGGUCUUCAACGAGGAAUUCCUAGUAAACGCAAGUCAUCAGCUUGCAUUGAUUACGUCCCUGCCCUUUGUACACACCGCCCGUCGCACCUACCGAUUGAAUGGUCCGGUGAAAUCUCGGGACGGCGGCUUGGUCGCUUGCGUCCGACUGCUGAAACUUGAUUAAACCAUAUCAUUUAGAGGAAGGUGAAGUCGUAACA